CUGGCGGCGUGCUUAACACAUGCAAGUCGAACGAGAAUCUGUGGAAAGAGGAUUCGUCCAAUUGAAGCAGAGGACAGUGGCGGACGGGUGAGUAACGCGUGAGGAACCUGCCUUUCAGAGGGGGGACAACAGUUGGAAACGACUGCUAAUACCGCAUAACAUAUAGAUGUCGCAUGGCAUUUAUAUCAAAGAUUUAUCGCUGAAAGAUGGCCUCGCGUCUGAUUAGCUAGUUGGUGAGGUAACGGCCCCACCAAGGCGACGAUCAGUAGCCGGACUGAGAGGUUGAACGGCCACAUUGGGACUGAGAUACGGCCCAGACUCCUACGGGAGGCAGCAGUGGGGAAUAUUGGGCAAUGGGCGCAAGCCUGACCCAGCAACGCCGCGUGAAGGAAGAAGGCUUUCGGGUUGUAAACUUCUUUUGUCAGGGACGAGUAGAAGACGGUACCUGACGAAUAAGCCACGGCUAACUACGUG
Molecule: ribosomal RNA, 474 nt
Filed under: uncultured bacterium
Lineage: Bacteria
Description: bacterial SSU rRNA
Rfam family: Bacterial small subunit ribosomal RNA
Source: RNAcentral